UACGUAGGGGGCUAGCGUUGUCCGGAAUCAUUGGGCGUAAAGAGCGUGUAGGCGGCCCGGUAAGUCCGCUGUGAAAGUCGGGGGCUCAACCCUCGAAUGCCGGUGGAUACUGUCGGGCUAGAGUGCGGAAGAGGCGAGUGGAAUUCCUGGUGUAGCGGUGAAAUGCGUAGAUAUCGGAAGGAACAUCAGUGGCGAAGGCGACUUCCUGGACCAAUACUGACGCUCAGGUGCGAAAGCGUGGGGAGCAAACAGG
RNAcentral lists this ribosomal RNA (253 nucleotides) under uncultured bacterium. RNAcentral describes it as "partial 16S ribosomal RNA". It matches the Rfam family "Bacterial small subunit ribosomal RNA", at positions 524 to 776 of the family's 1533-position model. The record is from RNAcentral.